UACGGAGGAUCCAAGCGUUAUCCGGAUUUAUUGGGUUUAAAGGGUGCGUAGGCGGCUUAUUAAGUCAGGGGUGAAAGACGGUGGCUCAACCAUCGCAGUGCCUUUGAUACUGAUGAGCUUGAAUGAACUAGAGGUAGGCGGAAUGUGACAAGUAGCGGUGAAAUGCAUAGAUAUGUCACAGAACACCGAUUGCGAAGGCAGCUUACUAUGGUUUUAUUGACGCUGAGGACGAAAGCGUGGGGAGCGAACAGG
RNAcentral lists this ribosomal RNA (252 nucleotides) under uncultured bacterium. Its description in RNAcentral is "partial 16S ribosomal RNA". It matches the Rfam family "Bacterial small subunit ribosomal RNA", at positions 524 to 776 of the family's 1533-position model. The record is from RNAcentral.